UCCCUGGUGGCUCAGAUGGUAAAGCAUCUGCCUGCAAUGUGGAAGACCCGAGUUCAAUCCCUGGGUUGGGAA
This 72-nucleotide transfer RNA is filed under the name Bos taurus (domestic cattle). It matches the Rfam family "tRNA". Rfam says of the family: Transfer RNA (tRNA) molecules are approximately 80 nucleotides in length. Their secondary structure includes four short double-helical elements and three loops (D, anti-codon, and T loops). The record is from Rfam by way of RNAcentral. Lineage: Eukaryota; Metazoa; Chordata; Mammalia; Artiodactyla; Bovidae. RNAcentral also lists the same sequence under 5 other names.